AGAGUGAACGCUGGCGGCAGGCCUAAUACAUGCAAGUCGAACGGCAGCACGGCAGAGCUUGCUCUGUGGGUGGCGAGUGGCGGACGGGUGAGGAAUACAUGGGAAUCUGCCCAGUCGUGGGGGAUAACGUAGGGAAACUUACGCUAAUACCGCAUACGCCCUUUGGGGGAAAGCCGGGGAUCGCAAGACCUGGCGCGGAUAGAUGAGCCGAUGUCGGAUUAGCUAGUUGGUGAGGUAAUGGCUCACCAAGGCGACGAUCCGUAGCUGGUCUGAGAGGAUGAUCAGCCACACUGGAACUGAGACACGGUCCAGACUCCUACGGGAGGCAGCAGUGGGGAAUAUUGGACAAUGGGCGCAAGCCUGAUCCAGCCAUACCGCGUGGUGAAGAGGCCUUGGUUGUAAAGCCCUUUGUUGGAAAGAAAGCAAGUCGUUAAUACCCGUUGUUACUGACGUACCCAAAGAA
Molecule: ribosomal RNA, 463 nt
Filed under: uncultured soil bacterium
Lineage: Bacteria
Description: bacterial SSU rRNA
Rfam family: Bacterial small subunit ribosomal RNA
Source: RNAcentral